GACGAACGCUGGCGGCGUGCUUAACACAUGCAAGUCGAGCGGUAAGGCCCUUUCGGGGGUACACGAGCGGCGAACGGGUGAGUAACACGUGGGUGACCUGCCCUCAGCUCUGGGAUAAGCCCGGGAAACUGGGUCUAAUACUGGAUAUGACUCCACGGUGCAUGCCGUGGGGUGGAAAGCCUUGUGCGGCUGAGGAUGGGCCCGCGGCCUAUCAGCUUGUUGGUGGGGUGAUGGCCUACCAAGGCGACGAUGGGUAGCUGGUCUGAGAGGACGAUCAGCCACACUGGGACUGAGACACGGCCCAGACUCCUACGGGAGGCAGCAGUGGGGAAUCUUGCGCAAUGCGCGAAAGCGUGACGCAGCAACGCCGCGUGGGGAAGACGGCCCUCGGGUUGUAAACCCCUUUCAGUUGGGACGAAGCUUCGCCGGUGAAUAGCCGGCUGGAGUGACGGUACCUUCACAAGAA
RNAcentral lists this ribosomal RNA (466 nucleotides) under uncultured bacterium. RNAcentral's name for it is "bacterial SSU rRNA". It matches the Rfam family "Bacterial small subunit ribosomal RNA", at positions 28 to 489 of the family's 1533-position model. The record is from RNAcentral.